GACGAACGCUGGCGGCGUGCUUAACACAUGCAAGUCGAACGGAAAGACCCCGCUUUUGUGGGGUGCUCGAGUGGCGAACGGGUGAGUAACACGUGAGUAACCUGCCCUUGACUUUGGGAUAACUUCAGGAAACUGGGGCUAAUACCGGAUAGGAGCUCCUGCUGCAUGGUGGGGGUUGGAAAGUUUCGGCGGUUGGGGAUGGACUCGCGGCUUAUCAGCUUGUUGGUGGGGUAGUGGCUUACCAAGGCUUUGACGGGUAGCCGGCCUGAGAGGGUGACCGGCCACAUUGGGACUGAGAUACGGCCCAGACUCCUACGGGAGGCAGCAGUGGGGAAUAUUGCACAAUGGGCGGAAGCCUGAUGCAGCAACGCCGCGUGCGGGAUGACGGCCUUCGGGUUGUAAACCGCUUUCGCCUGUGACGAAGCGUGAGUGACGGUAAUGGGUAAAGAAGCACCGGCUAACUACGUG
RNAcentral lists this ribosomal RNA (468 nucleotides) under uncultured bacterium. RNAcentral describes it as "partial 16S ribosomal RNA". It matches the Rfam family "Bacterial small subunit ribosomal RNA", at positions 28 to 507 of the family's 1533-position model. The record is from RNAcentral.